GAUGAACGCUGGCGGCGUGCCUAAUACAUGCAAGUCGAGCGAACAGACGAGGAGCUUGCUCCUCUGACGUUAGCGGCGGACGGGUGAGUAACACGUGGAUAACCUACCUAUAAGACUGGAAUAACUUCGGGAAACCGGAGCUAAUACCGGAUAAUAUAUUGAACCGCAUGGUUCAAUAGUGAAAGACGGUUUUGCUGUCACUUAUAGAUGGAUCCGCGCCGCAUUAGCUAGUUGGUAAGGUAACGGCUUACCAAGGCAACGAUGCGUAGCCGACCUGAUAGGGUGAUCGGCCACACUGGAACUGAGACACGGUCCAGACUCCUACGGGAGGCAGCAGUAGGGAAUCUUCCGCAAUGGGCGAAAGCCUGACGGAGCAACGCCGCGUGAGUGAUGAAGGUCUUCGGAUCGUAAAACUCUGUUAUUAGGGAAGAACAAAUGUGUAAGUAACUAUGCACGUCUUGACGGUACCUAAUCAGAAAGCCACGGCUAACUACGUG
This 497-nucleotide ribosomal RNA is filed under the name uncultured bacterium. RNAcentral's name for it is "partial 16S ribosomal RNA". It matches the Rfam family "Bacterial small subunit ribosomal RNA", at positions 28 to 507 of the family's 1533-position model. The record is from RNAcentral.